GACGAACGCUGGCGGCGUGCCUAAUACAUGCAAGUUGAACGCUAAAGCUUUAACUGGUGCUUGCACCGACUUAAGUUUUUAGAGUAGCGGACGGGUGAGUAACACGUGGGUAACCUGCCCAUCAGAGGGGGAUAACACUUGGAAACAGGUGCUAAUACCGCAUAAUUCCUUUUACCGCAUGGUAAAAGGCUGAAAGGCGCUUCUGGUGUCACUGAUGGAUGGACCCGCGGUGCAUUAGCUAGUCGGUGGGGUAACGGCCUACCGAGGCGAUGAUGCAUAGCCGACCUGAGAGGGUGAUCGGCCACAUUGGGACUGAGACACGGCCCAAACUCCUACGGGAGGCAGCAGUAGGGAAUCUUCGGCAAUGGACGAAAGUCUGACCGAGCAACGCCGCGUGAGUGAAGAAGGUUUUCGGAUCGUAAAGUUCUGUUAUUAGAGAAGAACACGUGUAAGAGUAACUGAUUAUGCGUUGACGGUAUCUAAUCAGCAAGUCACGGCUAACUACGUGCCAGCCGCCGCCGUAACAC
RNAcentral lists this ribosomal RNA (527 nucleotides) under uncultured bacterium. Its description in RNAcentral is "bacterial SSU rRNA". It matches the Rfam family "Bacterial small subunit ribosomal RNA", at positions 28 to 526 of the family's 1533-position model. The record is from RNAcentral.